GGGGCUACCCGCUGAAUUUAAGCAUAUCAAUAAGCGGAGGA
Molecule: ribosomal RNA, 41 nt
Filed under: Urtica thunbergiana
Lineage: Eukaryota; Viridiplantae; Streptophyta; Magnoliopsida; Rosales; Urticaceae
Description: partial 28S rRNA
Source: RNAcentral